UGAGCAGCCAACAGUGGUGAAAGAACAGGUUAGGGACUAUUUAGAAAAGCUGGACAUAUACAAGUCCAUGUGGCCAGAUGGGAUGGACCUGAGGGUGCUGAGGGAGU
Molecule: long non-coding RNA, 107 nt
Organism: Gavialis gangeticus (Gharial)
Lineage: Eukaryota; Metazoa; Chordata; Crocodylia; Gavialidae
Exons: 3
Source: RefSeq, a predicted model, not a curated record